Molecule: unclassified non-coding RNA, 183 nt
Filed under: uncultured Ascomycota
Lineage: Eukaryota; Fungi; Ascomycota
Description: sequence contains ITS1
Source: RNAcentral
AAGAGUAAGGGUCUCUGGCCCGAACCUCCAACCCUCUGUUGUUAUAACUACUUCGUUGCUUUGGCGGGACCGCAAAGGUUUCCACUCGAGCGCGCCGGUCUUCGGACAGGCGAGCGCCCGCCAGAGUCUAACCAAACUCUUGUUUUAAACCAGUCGUCUGAGUAUAAAAUUUUAAUUAAAUUA